UACGUAGGGGGCAAGCGUUGUCCGGAAUCAUUGGGCGUAAAGCGCGUGUAGGCGGCCCGGUAAGUCCGCUGUGAAAGUCCAGGGCUCAACCCUGGGAUGCCGGUGGAUACUGUCGGGCUCGAGUCCGGAAGAGGCGAGUGGAAUUCCUGGUGUAGCGGUGAAAUGCGCAGAGAUCGGAAAGAACACCAACGGCGAAAGCACUCUGCUGGGCCGACACUGACACUGAGAGACGAAAGCUAGGGGAGCGAAUGGG
This 253-nucleotide ribosomal RNA is filed under the name uncultured bacterium. Its description in RNAcentral is "partial 16S ribosomal RNA". It matches the Rfam family "Bacterial small subunit ribosomal RNA", at positions 524 to 776 of the family's 1533-position model. The record is from RNAcentral.